This 75-nucleotide transfer RNA is filed under the name Buchnera aphidicola (Cinara cedri). RNAcentral describes it as "tRNA-Arg". It matches the Rfam family "tRNA". From Rfam's summary of the family: Transfer RNA (tRNA) molecules are approximately 80 nucleotides in length. Lineage: Bacteria; Pseudomonadati; Pseudomonadota; Gammaproteobacteria; Enterobacterales; Erwiniaceae. RNAcentral also lists the same sequence under 1 other name. The record is from RNAcentral.
GCGUCUGUAGCUUAAUACGGAUAGAGCAUUACUUUCCGAAAGUAAAGGUUUCAGGUUCAAUUCCUGUCAGACGCA